CUUUGAGAUAAGUCGUCAAGCAUAGCCCAAAAGUGACUGACCUGCUGUAAAACAUCUUCCCUUCCGCCGGUGCUGGACAUCAUACGAAGAGCCAGUCCAAGAAUUCAGCCACUUUGCUGUAAACCCCGGGAUGGUUCGGCUCGGCGCAGCCCGUCCCCCAACUCACGACUCCUGCAAGCCUCCAUAAAUUUUCAUCCUGGCAAACAAGAGGGCCCCCGCUGUCCCCCUGAUAAGUCCYGAUGGAAAAGCCGCAGCGUCGCUCCUGCUCAUCGGUACGCCUGUGGCUGUGGAGGAAUGGAGGUCCGGCCCAGUUGAUUUGCC
Molecule: non-coding RNA, 321 nt
Organism: Poecilia reticulata (guppy)
Lineage: Eukaryota; Metazoa; Chordata; Actinopteri; Cyprinodontiformes; Poeciliidae
Source: RefSeq, a predicted model, not a curated record